GGAUACUGAGACACGGAUCCGACUCCUACGGGAGGCAGCAGUAAGGAAUAUUGGACAAUGCCCGCAAGGGUGAUCCAGCCAUGCCGCGUGCAGGAAGACGGCCCUAUGGGUUGUAAACUGCUUUUACACCGGAGAAAACCCCCCUACGUGUAGGGGGCUGAUAGUAUGGUGAGAAUAAGCAUCGGCUAACUUCGUGCCAGCAGCCGCGGUAAGACGAAGGAUGCAAGCGUUAUCCGGAUUCAUUGGGUUUAAAGGGAGCGUAGGUGGACUUAUAAGUCAGCGGUGAAAUCUCUGGGCUUAACCCAGAAAUUGCCAUUGAUACUGUAGGUCUUGAGUACAGUUGCUGUGGGCGGAAUAUGACAUGUAGUGGUGAAAUACAUAGAGAUGUCAUAGAACACCGAUUGCGAAGGCAGCUCACAAAGCUGUAACUGACACUGAGGCUCGAAAGUGCGGGGAUCAAACAGGAUUAGAUACCCUGGUAGUCCGCACUGUAAACGAUGAUUACUCGCUGCUAGGGGGCAACCUUUAGUGGCUUAGCGAAAGCGAUAAGUAAUCCACCUGGGGAGUACGCCGGCAACGGUGAAACUCAAAGGAAUUGACGGGGGCCCGCACAAGCGGAGGAGCAUGUGGUUUAAUUCGAUGAUACGCGAGGAACCUUACCAGGGCUUGAAAGUUAGGGAAUGGAUCUGAAAGGAUUCAGUCAGCAAUGACCCGAAACUAGGUGCUGCAUGGCUGUCGUCAGCUCGUGCCGUGAGGUGUUGGGUUAAGUCCCGCAACGAGCGCAACCCCUACCAUUAGUUGCCAGCGGUUCGGCCGGGGACUCUAGUGGAACUGCCCGCGCAAGCGGAGAGGAAGGUGGGGAUGACGUCAAGUCAUCACGGCCCUUACGUCCUGGGCUACACACGUGCUACAAUGGCUAUUACAGAGGGCAGCUACAUGGCAACAUGAUGCAAAUCUUCAAAAAUAGUCUCAGUUCGGAUUGGGGUCUGCAACUCGACCCCAUGAAGCUGGAUUCGCUAGUAAUCGCGCAUCAGCAAUGGCGCGGUGAAUACGUUCCCGGGCCUUGUACACACCGCCCGUCAAGCCAUGAAAGUUGGGAGUAUUUAAAGUCGGUAGCCGUAAGGCGCCGCCUAGAGUAAAACCGAUAAUUGGGGCUAAGUCGGAACAAGGUAGCCGUACCGGAAGGUGCGGCUG
RNAcentral lists this ribosomal RNA (1194 nucleotides) under metagenome. RNAcentral describes it as "bacterial SSU rRNA". It matches the Rfam family "Bacterial small subunit ribosomal RNA", at positions 314 to 1520 of the family's 1533-position model. The record is from RNAcentral.